This 419-nucleotide ribosomal RNA is filed under the name uncultured bacterium. Its description in RNAcentral is "bacterial SSU rRNA". It matches the Rfam family "Bacterial small subunit ribosomal RNA", at positions 355 to 776 of the family's 1533-position model. The record is from RNAcentral.
UGGGGAGUAUUGGACAAUGGACGAAAGUCUGAUCCAGCAAUACCGCGUGAGGGAUGAAGGUCUUCGGAUUGUAAACCUCGAUUAAGAGAUGAUGAAGGUCCACGCAAGUGGAUUUGACAGUAAUCUCAGUAAAGUCACGGCUAACUACGUGCCAGCAGCCGCGGUAAUACGUAGGUGGCAAGCGUUAUUCGGAUUUACUAGGCGUAAAGGACAGGUAGGUGGUUAGGCAAGUUGAAAGUGAAAUUCCCUGUUAAAUCAGGGUAGGUCUUUCAAAACUGCUUGGCUUGAGUGUAGGAGGGGAAAUCGGAAUUCCUGGUGUAGCGGUGAAAUGCGUAGAUAUCAGGAGGAACACCGAUGGCGAAAGCGGAUUUCUAUCCUAUUACUGACACUGAUCUGUGAAGGCGCGGGGAGCAAACAGG